ACUCUGGGCCCUGGUGGAAGAGUGGGCAACCCUGAUGGGCACUGCUGUCACCAAACCUCUGAAGAGUGGAGCUCUGCUCUGAGCCCAUGAAGCUCUGGCCCCACAUACCUGCCUGAUCUGCCUGAAGCCCUCGGGUGGCACACUGGCGAAGAUGUUGCACUCAGGUCUUGCCAGGAUCUGGAAGGCAAUGGCGCAGUGGUGGUUCUCCAGCGGUGAGAUGUCGUUGUAGCGCACAGCGAGUUCCGUGCGGGCAUUGAUCUGGUAUCUAGGGUUGAAGGCUUGCCUCUGGGACAUGGUCGGAACAUGAGGCAGAUAGACAAGCAGAGCAAGCUGCAGCUCAAUCAAUCAAUCAUCAAUGUUUAAAAGGCAGAGCAUGGAGGAAGGCCAACAGAUCCUAGGAGACGUGUGGCAGACUCCACUUGGCAUGUAUGUGAGAGACCACAGCCUGGCUCUAACGCACAAUCUUCCUGUCUUGGUUUGUAAGUGGCUGGGAUUAGAGGUGUGACCUGGUGUUCUGUUGUUCAUCGCAGGCCCCCUUCAGUCCUCCUACUAUCAGAUCCUGUAGAAGGAAGCCAUGUGCUCCAUACUGUGAUGUCUUCACAGACCAUUGGACUCAUGGCCUGACCCAAGUUUCAUCCAUUAGGGUCCUAUGGUGGUUUGAAUAUGCUUGGCUCAGGGAAUGGAACUAUUUGGAGGUGUGUCACUUUGGGCGUGAGCUUUAAGACCCUCCUCCUAACCAUGGGGGUAGGGUGAGGAUGGGGGUGGGCAAUGAAACCCUUGUCCUAGCUGCCUGGAAGCCACUCUUCUCCUGGCAGUCUUCAGAUGAAGAUGUAGAAUUCUCAGCUCCUCUUAUACCAUGCCUGCCUGGAUGCUGCCUUGCUCCCACCUGGAUGAUAAUGGACUGAACCUCUGAACCUGUAAGUCAGCCCCAAUUAAAUGUUGUCCUUUUAAGAGUUGCCUUGCCAGGCUGUGGUGGUGCAUGCCUUUAAUCCUAGGCAGAGGCAGGCGGAUUUCUGAGUUCGAGGCCAGCCUGGUCUACAGAGUGAGUUCCAGGACAGCCGAGGCUAUACAGAGAAGUCCUGUCUCGGAAAAAAAAAAAAAAAAAAA
Molecule: long non-coding RNA, 1107 nt
Filed under: Mus musculus (house mouse)
Lineage: Eukaryota; Metazoa; Chordata; Mammalia; Rodentia; Muridae
Description: predicted gene, 50138
Source: RNAcentral